AUGCACGCUGGCGGCGUGCCUCAUACAUGCAAGUCGAGCGAACAGACGAGGAGCUUGCUCCUCUGACGUUAGCGGCGGACGGGUGAGUAACACGUGGAUAACCUACCUAUAAGACUGGGAUAACUUCGGGAAACCGGAGCUAAUACCGGAUAAUAUAUUGAACCGCAUGGUUCAAUAGUGAAAGACGGUUUUGCUGUCACUUAUAGAUGGAUCCGCGCCGCAUUAGCUAGUUGGUAAGGUAACGGCUUACCAAGGCAACGAUGCGUAGCCGACCUGAGAGGGUGAUCGGCCGCACUGGAACUGAGACACGGUCCAGACUCCUACGGGAGGCAGCAGUAGGGAAUCUUCCGCAAUGGGCGAAAGCCUGACGGAGCAACGCCGCGUGAGUGAUGAAGGUCUUCGGAUCGUAAAACUCUGUUAUUAGGGAAGAACAAAUGUGUAAGUAACUAUGCACGUCUUGACGGUACCUAAUCAGAAAGCCACGGCUAACUACGUG
This 496-nucleotide ribosomal RNA is filed under the name uncultured bacterium. RNAcentral describes it as "partial 16S ribosomal RNA". It matches the Rfam family "Bacterial small subunit ribosomal RNA", at positions 29 to 507 of the family's 1533-position model. The record is from RNAcentral.